AGUCGAGGGGUAUAGUUCUUCGGAAUUAGAGACCGGCGCACGGGUGCGUAACGCGUAUGCAAUCUACCUUUUACAGAGGGAUAGCCCAGAGAAAUUUGGAUUAAUACCUCAUAGUAUUAUGAAAUGGCAUCAUUUUAUAAUUAAAGUCACAACGGUAAAAGAUGAGCAUGCGUCCCAUUAGCUAGUUGGUAAGGUAACGGCUUACCAAGGCUACGAUGGGUAGGGGUCCUGAGAGGGAGAUCCCCCACACUGGUACUGAGACACGGACCAGACUCCUACGGGAGGCAGCAGUGAGGAAUAUUGGACAAUGGGCGCAAGCCUGAUCCAGCCAUGCCGCGUGCAGGAUGACGGUCCUAUGGAUUGUAAACUGCUUUUAUACGAGAAGAAACACUACUUCGUGAAGUAGCUUGACGGUAUCGUAAGAAUAAGGAUCGGCUAACUCCGUGCCAGCAGCCGCGGUAAUACGGAGGAUCCAAGCGUUAUCCGGAAUCAUUGGGUUUAAAGGGUCCGUAGGCGGUUUAAUAAGUCAGUGGUGAAAGCCCAUCGCUCAACGGUGGAACGGCCAUUGAUACUGUUAAACUUGAAUUAUUAGGAAGUAACUAGAAUAUGUAGUGUAGCGGUGAAAUGCUUAGAGAUUACAUGGAAUACCAAUUGCGAAGGCAGGUUACUACUAAUGGAUUGACGCUGAUGGACGAAAGCGUGGGUAGCGAACAGGAUUAGAUACCCUGGUAGUCCACGCCGUAAACGAUGGAUACUA
This 757-nucleotide ribosomal RNA is filed under the name uncultured Bacteroidota bacterium. Its description in RNAcentral is "bacterial SSU rRNA". It matches the Rfam family "Bacterial small subunit ribosomal RNA", at positions 60 to 818 of the family's 1533-position model. Lineage: Bacteria; Pseudomonadati; Bacteroidota. The record is from RNAcentral.